Molecule: ribosomal RNA, 460 nt
Filed under: uncultured bacterium
Lineage: Bacteria
Description: partial 16S ribosomal RNA
Rfam family: Bacterial small subunit ribosomal RNA
Source: RNAcentral
CCUACGGGAGGCAGCAGUGAGGAAUAUUGGUCAAUGGGCGCAAGCCUGAACCAGCCAAGUCGCGUGAAGGAUGACUGCCCUACGGGUUGUAAACUUCUUUUAUAAAGGAAUAAAGUGAGGCACGUGUGCCUUUUUGUAUGUACUUUAUGAAUAAGGAUCGGCUAACUCCGUGCCAGCAGCCGCGGUAAUACGGAGGAUCCGAGCGUUAUCCGGAUUUAUUGGGUUUAAAGGGAGCGUAGAUGGGUUGUUAAGUCAGUGGUGAAAGUUUGAGGCUCAACCGUAAAAUUGCAAUUGAUACUGGCAGCCUUGAGUACAGUUGAGGGAGGCGGAAUGCGUGGUGUAGCGGUGAAAUGCUUAGAUAUCACGAAGAACCCCGAUUGCGAAGGCAGCUUACUAAACUGUCACUGACAUUGAUGCUCGAAAGUGUGGGUAUCAAACAGGAUUAGAUACCCGUGUAGUC